Molecule: ribosomal RNA, 253 nt
Filed under: uncultured bacterium
Lineage: Bacteria
Description: partial 16S ribosomal RNA
Rfam family: Bacterial small subunit ribosomal RNA
Source: RNAcentral
GACGAACCGUGCGAACGUUGUUCGGAAUCACUGGGCUUAAAGGGCGCGUAGGCGGCUCGCGAGGUCGGGGGUGAAAUCCCACAGCUUAACUGUGGAAGUGCCUUCGAUACCGGCGGGCUAGAGGAAGGUAGGGGUGCGCGGAACUUCUGGUGGAGCGGUGAAAUGCGUUGAUAUCAGAAGGAACGCCGGCGGCGAAAGCGGCGCACUGGACCUUUGCUGACGCUGAGGCGCGAAAGCCAGGGGAGCAAACGGG